CGGGCGGGGCUCAACCUGGGGCUGGAGUUCAGUCCUGCUUGGCUGCAGUUCCCGAAGCUGUUCCCGGAGGUCUGGCCGAGGUCGUCUCCUCGGGAUCCUAAUCGGGAUGGGGACAAAGGCGGAAACUGGGAGGAAACAUUUGCUUCUCUUUACACUGGCGAACCUAUUCUCCCUGGUGCUGGGCAAGGGUUCCGUGUACACCUCCAAUCCUGACGUCCAAGAGGCUGAGAAUAACCCGGUCAAGUUGCCCUGCACCUACUCUGGCUUCACCUCCCCCCGUGUGGAGUGGAAGUUUGACCACGGCGACACCACCAGGCUCGUUUGCUAUAAUAACAAGAUCACUGCUUCCUAUGCGGACCGUGUUACCUUUUCAACCAGCGGCAUCACCUUCAGUUCGGUGACUCGGGAGGACACAGGGACGUAUACAUGUAUGGUCACUGAGGACAGUGGCAACAGCUACGGGGAGGUCCAUAUCCAGCUCACUGUGCUUGUGCCUCCGUCCAAGCCCACAGUCAACAUCCCCUCCUCCUCCACCAUUGGCACCCGGACGGUGCUGACCUGCUCCGAACAGGAUGGCUCUCCACCCUCUGAAUACUCCUGGUUCAGGGAUGGGGUCCUGAUGCCUGAAGAUCCCAAGAACACCCGUGCCUUUAUCAAUUCUUCCUAUACCCUGAAUCACAAGACAGGGGAGCUGACCUUCAGCCCUCUGACAUCUGCUGAUACUGGAGAGUACUCUUGUCAGGCACAGAAUGGGGUUGGGACACCCAUGAGGUCAGACAGCAUCCGCAUGGAAGCUGUGGAGCAGAAUGUGGGGGGCAUCGUGGCAGCUGUCCUCAUAACACUGAUUCUCCUUGGAGUCUUGAUUUUCGGCAUCUGGUUUGCCUAUAGCCGAGGCUACUUUGAGCGAGCAAAGAAAAAGUGAGUGAAAUGUAGCGCCAGGGUUCUCUGAGGCUGAGAACAUGGAUGUGACCUCGUCGAGUAAGAAGGUGAUCUACAGCCAGCCCACUCCCCGGAGUGAGGGGGAAUUCAAACAGACCUCGUCGUUCCUGGUGUGACCCGGGCCGGCUCAUCUCUUGUUUCUGAUGCCCAUGUUCCUCAGGAGCUCCUAGACUCUGGUCCUGACAUCUGUAGAUUCACAGGAUGCCUUGUUUUCUAGACCCACAGGAUCCCCCACUUAGUUAGGAUGUGAUUUUAACAAUGUCAGCUUUGUGCACCUUCCUCUUCACCACAUUCCCUCCCUUUCAUACCACUGCUGAGUGGUUCCCCUUCCCCUGCCCUACGGGAGAGCGGGAGAGCGGACAGGAGCCUGGGUGCCUACUGACUUCCCCUCUAAGUAGACAGCUUAAGUGAUGGGGCUCCCGGCAACCUGAAACCACUACCUGGCCUGCCUGUGGCCUUUGGAUAAGGAUCUUGAGCCUGACUCCUAGGCUUUCUGCUUCCCCGGUGGGGACUGGAGAGCGAAGCAGCUGAAAGAGUGGUUUGGUUGUGAUAUUGGCUCUUCCGUCUUGGAGCCCACCUGCCUAUCUUCCCAUGAAAAGUGCCACUGGGACCCUCCUGCCCUGUCUUCCUGAACACAAGCAAACUGAAACUGUGUCUGUAAGAAAAUAGGGAAGCAGAGUAAAUUCUCAGAGACCUGGAGCAAGAAAACGUUUAAAACCAUGGAUCUAAAGGAAAGAAAAUUGGAACAACUGGACAGACCUUUAGAAUAUACCAGGAGGGAUGUGGGGAUGUGUGUGUGUGUGUGUGUUAGUCUGGGCUCUUUGCUGAGAGAAAGAGAGUGAGAGAGAGAGUGAGUCCGUGGUCUUUGCUGUAUGCUGACUGAGUGGAGUGGUUGAAGAGCUUCUUAGCUCUUUGGUGAGCUGCAGUUUGUGUGUGGCUGAAUUAGCUGGAUGUGUUGGAAAUAAAAACUUGGUUUGUCAAUGCUUCUUUCUGUGGGGAAUGGGGAAAUGAGGUCAUUGAGGGUCCCUGGGCUCCUUUGUACAAACAGGAAAAUGCCUCAAAGCCCUGCUUCCUGGCCACCGGGGGCUGGUCUCCAGGGCCCUGUGCUGCCCCUUCACUUCUGGAAUUCAGACCCUUGUUCCCUGUAUGUGGCUCCCUUCCUCUGCUGGGGGAGGGUGCUGGGGAGAAGCCCGGGGUGUGCUCACUUCACCAGGUGAAAGGAGGAAGUGCCUGCCUUCCUGCCUAACAGGGUGCAUUAAUGGGCUCCCCAAAGCUAGAGGAAAAUCUGCUAUGAACGGUGAUUUCUGGGAUUAUUUGGAAAACGAUUUUUAUACUAAAUUAAUACUUUAGUGAGUGGAAGGUUCAGAAGAUAUUUCAGAGAUAGCAGGAAUAAAUAGGAUAGGCCUGGUUGUCAAUGAAUUCCUCCUCCCAUUUGGACCUUUUUAUUUUUUAUGGUGCUGGGGAUCGAACCCAUUAACUUGUGCAAGGUAGGCAAACCCUCUACCACUGAGCUACAGUUCCAGCUUCCCCUUCCCACCAUUUUAAAAUUUUGAGACAGGAUCUCUAAGUUGCCCAGGCUGGCCCCCGGCCUCAGCCUCUGGAGUGGCAAGGAUCGGUCAUGUAUCCCCAUGUUGAGCUAUUUUGGACUCUUCUGCCCUUAAGUUUCAGUUUCCCAUCUACCACAAACCUGCAAUCUAUUAAAUAGUAAGAGGACAAAUAAAAGGGUCCUCUAGGUUUGCUUUUGUUUAUUUACUUGGAGGAUAGAACCCCCUAACAGUCUCCAGCAGUGGAGAUUGAAACUAGGGUCAGGGUUACAAGGGCUCUAGCACCAAGGCACAGCUCUCUCUUUGAGACAGGGUCUUAAGUUGCCUAGGUUGACCUUGAACUUUUGAUCUGGCCACCACCUCCUGAGUAGCUGGGAUGAUAGGCAUGUGCCACCACACCCCUAAAUGUACAAUCAAGGACCCCCCCCCCCAAAGCGAAACUCUAUCUGUUAAUGAUUAUGUAUUAAUAAAACGUUUUCUCCAGGGGAAAUAAGAUACUAUGAGAUGACAAAAAUGAGAUGGGUCAGUAAGGAUGAAAAUUUUAAAGUAUGUCCCUGUUUUUAGGGUUUAUCUUUGGUACGGGGGAUUGAACUGGAGACCUUGUGCUUGUGAGAUGGCAGGGUGGGAGGGACCUGAAGGAGUGCUUUGAGGAAAUAAAUGGGUGAUUCUCUGCUCUAAGUCCGAGGUGAGGUGACGUUCUUCACUUGGCCACUUGUGAGCCUGAGUCAUUCCUCAGCUUUGGCGUUUACCUUUCUAGCUUACAACAGCCCUUUGGAGUUGGAAAAGAUUGUGUCUGCUUUCAUCUUAAAACAUCAAAACUAAUUUUUGUAAUAAAUGUUUAUUUUUCACAUUGA
This is an RNA transcript of Heterocephalus glaber (naked mole-rat), 3337 nucleotides long. It is a transcript of the gene named F11 receptor, with no coding region annotated. The record is from RefSeq and is a predicted model, not a curated record. NCBI's taxonomy places the organism in Eukaryota, Metazoa, Chordata, Mammalia, Rodentia, Bathyergidae.